This 492-nucleotide ribosomal RNA is filed under the name uncultured bacterium. RNAcentral describes it as "partial 16S ribosomal RNA". It matches the Rfam family "Bacterial small subunit ribosomal RNA", at positions 29 to 507 of the family's 1533-position model. The record is from RNAcentral.
AGUGAACGCUGGCGGUAGGCCUAACACAUGCAAGUCGAACGGCAGCACAGUAAGAGCUUGCUCUUACGGGUGGCGAGUGGCGGACGGGUGAGGAAUACAUCGGAAUCUACUUUUUCGUGGGGGAUAACGUAGGGAAACUUACGCUAAUACCGCAUACGACCUACGGGUUAAAGCAGUGGAUCUUCGGACCUUUCGCGAUUGAAUGAGCCGAUGUCGGAUUAGCUAGUUGGCGGGGUAAAGGCCCACCAAGGCGACGAUCCGUAGCUGGUCUGAGAGGAUGAUCAGCCACACUGGAACUGAGACACGGUCCAGACUCCUACGGGAGGCAGCAGUGGGGAAUAUUGGGCAAUGGGCGAAAGCCUGAUCCAGCAAUACCGCGUGGGUGAAGAAGGCCUUCGGGUUGUAAAGCCCUGUUGUUGGGAAAGAAAAGCAGCAGGUUAAUACACGGCUGUUCUGACGGUACCCAAAGAGUAAGCACCGGCUAACUUCGUG